This 403-nucleotide ribosomal RNA is filed under the name uncultured bacterium. RNAcentral describes it as "bacterial SSU rRNA". It matches the Rfam family "Bacterial small subunit ribosomal RNA", at positions 930 to 1349 of the family's 1533-position model. The record is from RNAcentral.
UAGCGGAGCGUGUGGUUUAAUUCGAUUACACGAAGAACCUUACCAGGGUUUGACAUGCAAGUGGUAGGAAACCGAAAGGUGACCGACCCUUCGGGGAGCUUGCACAGGUGCUGCAUGGCUGUCGUCAGCUCGUGUCGUGAGAUGUUCGGUUAAGUCCGCUAACGAGCGCAACCCUCACUGUGUGUUAUAUGUGUCACACGGGACCGCCGGUCUUAAGCCGGAGGAAGGUGGGGAUGACGUCAAGUCAGCAUGGCCUUUAUAUCCUGGGCUGCACACACGCUACAAUGGCCAACACAAUAGGUCGCUAAGCCGCGAGGUGGAGCCAAUCCAUAAAGUUGGUCUCAGUUCAGAUUGCAGGCUGCAACCCGCCUGCAUGAAGAUGGAGUUGCUAGUAACCGCAUAA